UGCUGUUGUAAAUAGUGCUAUGAUGAACGU
RNAcentral lists this non-coding RNA (30 nucleotides) under Homo sapiens (human). The record is from RNAcentral. Lineage: Eukaryota; Metazoa; Chordata; Mammalia; Primates; Hominidae.